Non-coding RNA from Chiloscyllium plagiosum (whitespotted bambooshark), 350 nucleotides. Lineage: Eukaryota; Metazoa; Chordata; Chondrichthyes; Orectolobiformes; Hemiscylliidae. The record is from RefSeq and is a predicted model, not a curated record.
CUCCCCAUUCUAGAAUAAGCUGAAAUCUUCUUUAGAUUCUCUCACAGAGAAGAAAUCGGCGGUUCUCCAAGCUGAACUUCCACUGUAAUCCAGUUGCAGUUCCAUGUGGACAGUGUACGGGUGUAUUUGGUACAGUGGGAGAAUGAGAGUCACUGUGUCCGUGAGCGGGACUGAUGGAGGAAGCUUGUCGCAAGAGAAGGAUUAGUGAUGAGGUGAAGACACUCUCAGCUGCUGAUGGCUCUCUGUCUCUCGGACAGUUCACUGGCCCUUUACAGUACACAGUCUGGAGAGAAAUGAUACACACCAUUCACCCAGGUAAACAUGUAUAUUCAUUUUCCUGAUGAUAAAUC